AUUGAACGCUGGCGGCAUGCCUUACACGUGCAAGUCGAACGGCAGCACGGGUGCUUGCACCUGGUGGCGAGUGGCGAACGGGUGAGUAGUACAUCGGAACGUACCUUAUCGUGGGGGAUAACGCAGCGAAAGCUGUGCUAAUACCGCAUACGCCCUGAGGGGGAAAGCGGGGGAUCGAAAGACCUCGCGCGAUUAGAGCGGCCGAUGCCUGAUUAGCUUGUUGGUGGGGUAAAAGCCCACCAAGGCGACGAUCAGUAGCUGGUCUGAGAGGACGAUCAGCCACACUGGGACUGAGACACGGCCCAGACUCCUACGGGAGGCAGCAGUGGGGAAUUUUGGACAAUGGGGGCAACCCUGAUCCAGCAAUGCCGCGUGAGUGAAGAAGGCCUUCGGGUUGUAAAGCUCUUUUGUCGGGGAAGAAACACCGGCUCUAACACAGUCCGGGAAUGACGGUACCUGAAGAAUAAGUACCGGCUAACUACGUGCCAGCAGCCGCCGUAA
RNAcentral lists this ribosomal RNA (501 nucleotides) under uncultured bacterium. RNAcentral describes it as "partial 16S ribosomal RNA". It matches the Rfam family "Bacterial small subunit ribosomal RNA", at positions 29 to 523 of the family's 1533-position model. The record is from RNAcentral.